Spea bombifrons (plains spadefoot toad) is the source of this 540-nucleotide long non-coding RNA. RefSeq lists it as uncharacterized. NCBI's taxonomy places the organism in Eukaryota, Metazoa, Chordata, Amphibia, Anura, Pelobatidae. The transcript is spliced from 2 exons. The record is from RefSeq and is a predicted model, not a curated record.
ACGAAUGCGGAAGAGGAAGAUAGCAUCACAUAAAAUGAAGACGCCGAGAAGAAGUUUAAAACGCCUGGUAGAAGCUCAAAGGAGCGAAAUGCGUAGCGGGCGGUUCUUUAAACUUUUUAGCGAACGGAUUUUAAAACUUCUAAUGAAUUGGAAUAAAUAUUUAUUUAUCUUCUAUUCUCGAGUACGGUCUUUUUCUUCUUGCUUAUUACGGAGGUUUGGGGAUGUGGCAAGCUGUCCUUUGAAACGGAGCCGGAGUUCCUGUACCAUUUGCUGGAGACAAAGCCCCAGGAAAAGACAUUUUGAGGAGCCUAAUUUGAUUAUGAAGCAUAUGUUACAUGAAUCCGUGGGAUGGGACAGAUGUUUCUGGUGAUCAUCUUAAUCAGAAUUGGAUUCCGAGCCUUCCUCGAGUGCUUUCAGUUGUUCUACUAUGGCUCUCUCCUGCUUUUCAUUUUGGUACUUUAAGAUGCUGAAAAAAACAUUAAAUAUUUGUCACAUUUAUUUGUAUUGCAAUUGUUAAUAAAACAUCACAUAAUCUCACUG